AGCGGGCUGAACAGCUGCGGAUGAAAGCCGAAAGGCUUCACCCGAGGAAAGUCCGGGCUCCAUAGGGCAAGAAUAACGGCUAACGGCCGCCGGGGGCGACCCCAGGGAUAGUGCAACAGAGAUAUACCGCCUGAUUCGUCAGGCAAGGGUGGAAAGGCGAGGUAAGAGCUCACCGGCACGCAGGAGACUGUGUGGCCCUGUAAACCCUAUUCGGAGCAACACCGCAUAGAAGCAUUCAACAUCGGCCCGAUGGCUUCGCUUAGGUGGCAUCGAGCAGCGGCGGUAACGCCCUGCCAAGAUAGAUGGCUGUUCACGACAGAACCCGGCUUAUAGGCUCGGUC
Molecule: RNase P RNA, 341 nt
Filed under: uncultured Pseudoruminococcus sp.
Lineage: Bacteria; Bacillati; Bacillota; Clostridia; Eubacteriales; Acutalibacteraceae
Description: Bacterial RNase P class A
Rfam family: Bacterial RNase P class A
About the family: Ribonuclease P (RNase P) is a ubiquitous endoribonuclease, found in archaea, bacteria and eukarya as well as chloroplasts and mitochondria. Its best characterised activity is the generation of mature 5'-ends of tRNAs by cleaving the 5'-leader elements of precursor-tRNAs.
Source: RNAcentral